GACGAACGCUGGCGGCGUGCCUAAUACAUGCAAGUUGAGCGAUGAAGAUUGGUGCUUGCACCAAUUUGAAGAGCAGCGAACGGGUGAGUAACGCGUGGGGAAUCUGCCUUUGAGCGGGGGACAACAUUUGGAAACGAAUGCUAAUACCGCAUAACAACUUUAAACAUAAGUUUUAAGUUUGAAAGAUGCAAUUGCAUCACUCAAAGAUGAUCCCGCGUUGUAUUAGCUAGUUGGUGAGGUAAAGGCUCACCAAGGCGAGGAUACAUAGCCGACCUGAGAGGGUGAUCGGCCACAUUGGGACUGAGACACGGCCCAAACUCCUACGGGAGGCAGCAGUAGGGAAUCUUCGGCAAUGGACGAAAGUCUGACCGAGCAACGCCGCGUGAGUGAAGAAGGUUUUCGGAUCGUAAAACUCUGUUGGUAGAGAAGAACGUUGGUGAGAGUGGAAAGCUCAUCAAGUGACGGUAACUACCCAGAAAGGGACGGCUAACUACGUG
RNAcentral lists this ribosomal RNA (497 nucleotides) under uncultured bacterium. RNAcentral describes it as "partial 16S ribosomal RNA". It matches the Rfam family "Bacterial small subunit ribosomal RNA", at positions 28 to 507 of the family's 1533-position model. The record is from RNAcentral.